UGGGGAAUAUUGGACAAUGGGCGAAAGCCUGAUCCAGCCAUGCCGCGUGUGUGAAGAAGGUCUUCGGAUUGUAAAGCACUUUAAGUUGGGAGGAAGGGCAGUAAGCGAAUACCUUGCUGUUUUGACGUUACCGACAGAAUAAGCACCGGCUAACUCUGUGCCAGCAGCCGCGGUAAUACAGGGGGUGCAAGCGUUAAUCGGAAUUACUGGGCGUAAAGCGCGCGUAGGUGGUUCGUUAAGUUGAAUGUGAAAGCCCCGGGCUCAACCUAGGAACUGCCUCCAAAACUGGCGAGCUAGAGUAGGGCAGAGGGUGGUGGAAUUUCCUGUGUAGCGGUGAAAUGCGUAGAUAUAGGAAGGAACACCAGUGGCGAAGGCGACCACCUGGGCUCAUACUGACACUGAGGUGCGAAAGCGUGGGGAGCAAACAGG
RNAcentral lists this ribosomal RNA (429 nucleotides) under Pseudomonadota bacterium. RNAcentral's name for it is "Proteobacteria bacterium partial 16S ribosomal RNA". It matches the Rfam family "Bacterial small subunit ribosomal RNA", at positions 355 to 776 of the family's 1533-position model. The record is from RNAcentral. Lineage: Bacteria; Pseudomonadati; Pseudomonadota.